Molecule: long non-coding RNA, 604 nt
Organism: Gorilla gorilla gorilla (western lowland gorilla)
Lineage: Eukaryota; Metazoa; Chordata; Mammalia; Primates; Hominidae
Exons: 3
Source: RefSeq, a predicted model, not a curated record
CUGACUUCCCAGUCCCCUCAAAGAGUGUCAGUCCUGAGGGUCUGUAAUCCUCUCACUCCCAAAGUAAGAGGCUGGACUCCCCCAGAGGCUGACACUGAGACGAGGAUAUGAGUGGAAGUCGUUCCUUUGAGAGGAAGAAACGAUGACAUAUUCUAUCAGAUACUAAACAGGAAGAUAGAGGUCAUUUCAAUAAUUUACACGGAGAGAAUGUAUCGAAGGGAGUUGGUUACAUAGCGGAAAAACCAAUCGGGACGGUGAAGCGGCCCAGAUUUUAGCAACAGCAGGAAGCCGCUAACACCCUUGGAAGGAGUGCUGCUGCAGCCCCUGUGCCGGGGUCCCCCAGAAUAAGCUGGUGCGGUGGUGGCUCCCACAGGACAGCAGCCGUAGCUAUGGAACGGAUGCCAGGACAGAAUGCAGCCAGUUCCCCGGGACUCCGCUGGGGAUGGAGCCAGCAGAUGGAGAGACUCAGCCUGGCUUUUCCUUUCCUUCCCCUCCAGCCUCCCUCCCACUUGGCCACGCCCAGCCAGAGGCCUGAGGACUGCAGCGUGUAGGAGCCAGAACCGCGGAGGAAAAAGGCCAGGGGUGAAGCUGAGGCUCACGCACA